RNA transcript from Oncorhynchus gorbuscha (pink salmon), 4381 nucleotides. It is a transcript of the gene named microtubule-associated protein 6 homolog, with no coding region annotated. The transcript is spliced from 6 exons. NCBI's taxonomy places the organism in Eukaryota, Metazoa, Chordata, Actinopteri, Salmoniformes, Salmonidae. The record is from RefSeq and is a predicted model, not a curated record.
GCGCAGGCGGGACCGAUUUUCCUUGCAGUGCACUAUCAUAGAGCAAUGUGCAUGACAGGACAGAACGAGCAGAGCUGAGAGCAGGGCAAAGGGAAAACAUCAGCGAAAGGGGAGGUUGUAAUAACGCUAAUUAAGCAUCCAAUCUCUGUAUUCGUAAUAUUUGCAUCAUGGAUGUAUAAUUCCUCUAUUUUCGCUAAACAUCGUAUCUUGUACCAUUCAACAACUCGGACAUUUUGUUCCUCAUUUUGUUCCUUUAACAGAACACUGGUGCCCAUCAAGAGCCUAGGAGAGACAGAGAGUGCCAUUGUAUCGCGCGCAGGAACUGAGCAAAAGCCGACAUCAUGGCGUGGCCCUGCAUCACCAGGGCGUGUUGUAUGGCCCGCUUCUGGAACCAGCUGGACAAGGGGGACAUUUCGGUGCCAUUGGUUUUCACCAGAUACGACGUCUCGGAGAUGCAGCAUCUUCAACUGCAGCACCAACAAAAACAGCCGCAUCACCAGGCACAGGCAAGCGCGGUCGCCAUAGAAACUCUACCCGCUCACGAGGACAAGGCGGUAGCGGCUUGUGAGCACCCCGCAACCGGAACUGCUGUGUCUGAGGAGCGCGCAUGUGGUUCUGUAAUGCGCCAAGACUUUAAGCACUGGAAAGUGCGCCCUGAGCCAAGCUGUAAACCUAAGCAUGAAUAUCACACUCCCGAGACCCCUUUUAACAACAAGACACAAUAUCAGAAGGAUUUCAAGCCAUGGCCCAUUCCGAAAAGGGACGACCAUCCUUGGAUUGCCAAACCCAAUCCCUCCAUCUCCAUCGGCGGUGACGGUGUCCAGGAUAGGUCCAAACACUACCAUGCACACGCGGAAGUUGACAGUGGGGUUGAGAAAAGCGAAAUUGCUGACAAAGUACAAGAGAAAGAAACGAUGGAAGGGAGUAAAAAUAAUCCAACUGCAGAGAAGGAUGGUGAAAAGAAAGUUAGCAUCAAAGUGGAGCGAGAAGACGCGGCAGGGGCCAGAAGCAGGGCGGCGUUAGAUGCGCUAAACAGGCAGUUAAAACAGGAAGUUACAAUUGGCAGCGCAUACAAGACUGAGUUCAAGGCCCACAGGGAUGUGAAGCCAGUGAAGCUGAUCCGAGCCAAGUCCCAGUUCCUUCCCCCUGAUGAGAAGACCAGCCUGGAGACUAGCUAUAGUGCCACCUACAGGGGAGAGCAGGCCAAGAAGCAGCCCAAUGACAACAAGGCUGUGGACAGGAGGAGGAUACGCAGCCUGUACAAUGAGCCCUACAAAGGGCUACAAGAGACCAAGGUUGAGAGGUCUAACAGUGCUCCCCGAUCCAAACCCAAAAAGGCGGGCACCAGGUUAGCGAGCCAAGGGGACAAACCUGUGAAGAAGGCAAAAGAGCAGAAGCUGCAGGGCAGCACAGCACUGCGGGGCACCAAGAAGAAGACAUUGGAGAACCAGCCCACUGAGUCCAGGCCUGCGGAGAUGGACAAGGAGAAAAGUAAAGAGAUGAACAACAAACUGGCUGAGGCAAAAGAGUAAAAAUCAUCACUUCUACCUUUUAUUCUUCUUUGAGGGAAAAAACACAAAGGCUGCAUAAUUAGAGAUCACCGUACUAACGAGGGGAUGUGUGCAUCCGCUUCCUCUGCUUCCUGAUGCCACCGACCACCCCCCUCUCUCCGUCUCCAUCUCAAGGUUGCCAUGGCUACCAAUGAACGGCGUGUGCUAUUGUUGCAUGAGCUCACCGACUAGCAAUCCUGUGUGGUUGGCUUCCAUCUUCCAACUGAACAGAUUGCUUUGUUGAGUUUAUCAAGGAUUUUUGGGAAAGAGAAAACCAUGUAAAUUGGCUCACUGAAUGGACUUGAUCUUUAUAGCUGUAACUUGCUAAAUGUAUGCAAAGAUAGAUACUCAUCUAGAAUUAUGGUCUGAAAAUCUUUGAUAAAUGUGCAGCUUGGUAUUUCUAGAGUGUAUUGGUCCAUGGCUGAGUGUGUGCCUGCUCUGUAGGUCCUGAAUGCUGUCUUCCAGUGCACACGGGCCUCCAUGUCUGUCUAUAAUCAAAUUGCCAUUACUAAGAUGCUUUGUUAAACUUUGCCAUCAUUCCUGAAUGAAAUCUCAUUUUGUAAACCUAAUAACUGUUGAUUGUGGAUGAUGUGGGAAUGGUUUUGAGCAAUGAAUUGUCAGGUAAACAUUUAAAACCUCAUACUGUCUCAUUCAAAGUGUUCUCUCUAUUCACAGGAAAAUUAGUUAAUCAAGUUAUUUUAAAGGUCAGACAAGGAUAUCUUAUUUCAUCAACCUUGUUGCCAAACCAGGAGCCAUCUGGGUUACAGUAACCUGAUGAUGCAUUACUAGACCAGUUAUUUGCACAGCAGAUAAAUUAAAUGUUACUAUCAUGAAAUUAUAAUUACAUUAUCCAUUUGCAUAACUACAUUACAUGUCACUGAGUCACGAUAGGAAAUUGAUAUUGUGGCUCUGUGGUCGUUAGCUAUGCUCUCCCCCAGACCAUGCAGACUCUGUAUAGAUAAAGCUCAGUGGAGUGGCAGGAUCACUUUCUAAUCCUACAUAGAGCAGCCUAACCUAUAACCUCACACACCCCCGCCUACAGGCCCUCCCCUCCUCUCAGACACACACACACAGAGCCAUGGUGGACUGUAACCGACGUGAUUAGGCCCCCAUGGGACUAGCAGAUGGGACCCCAGCAACACUAUCACAUCCCAGAGGUCUAAAGAGGUGCCUGGCUGGAUGUGAUAUUAGUCCACACUAGUAGGAGCAGACUCAUGGUUAAGGUUUUGGAAUUAUAUGUUAUUUAUGUUUAAUUAUUAAUCUAUUCGUUUGUGUAUGAAACACUGAUUACCACCUCUGCUAAUACCUCUCUUUAUUGAAUAAUAAUGCGACUGUGAUGUGAUGGUAAGUUGAAUGCUGGCUGUUUGGAAUGCUUCUUUUUCUCAAAUUAUUAUCUGUAUGUGUCUGUCUAACACAGGCCUCAAAGAACUGGCCUCUUCCACAACCAGGUGUGUGUUUAAGUGUGUGGAUUUGAUUAGGUUGACAAGAUUACGUGUGGAUGUCAAGAUUAUAUUCAACACAUUCAACUUCAAAUCAAUCUCUCUCUGCUGCCUUCCAUGGCAAUCUAAAUAUUGUAGGCAUAGGCUAACAAUGUAGACCAACUUGAUAUUUCUCCCCUGUGAUUUCAUUGAAUUAGGAUAAGCAGCGAAACUCAAUUCUAUAUUUGGUUUACAUGUCUGUUAUACUUCUGCAUAUGUUUGCAGUUUCUUGAAUGGGAUAAAAAUGAGUGAGCAAGGAAAAUGAUCUGUUUUACAAAUGAAAACCUAAUUAUGUCAAAAUGAAUCAAGUUAGACUUGUCCCCUUUGUAUUGGCUGUAUAGUGCCAGUGGAGCUCUAUUUGCUGUAAGUAAUAGCAUGUUACUAGACGUCUGCUUAUGUCUUAGCAGACAGUAGUAAAGACCAGAACAGCGUCUCAGACUCCUGGGAUAGGAUAGGCCUCAACAGAGCAGUGCGUUGUGCAGCACUUGUCUUGUCAUGGGUCAACCCCCACCUCCUCACAAUCCCCAGUCUCUUUCUUGUGUUGUUGUAAUCUAUUGUGCUAGUCAGUGUCCCCUGACUCCCUCCCUCCCCUCAGUUUUGAGUAAUGGAGUGUGUUGUCUCUCCAUUUGCCGUGGUGAUGUCUUGGUUAGUAUGUCACAAUGAAUCACCACACCGUAUUCCACUCAGACUGAGCAUGCGCCCACGGAGCAGAGAUAGAGGGCCAUCUUAUUAGCAUUUUGCAGCCUUUGGUUGGGGAAGGGGGAUGCUUUCUCUCGUAACACAUGAAGGGGGAUGCUUUCUCUCGUAACACAUGAAGGGGGAUGCUUUCUCUCGUAACACAGGAAGGGGGAUGCUUUCUCUCGUAACACAGGAAGGGGGAUGCUUUCUCUCGUAACACAGGAAGGGGGAUGCUUUCUCUCGUAACACAGGAAGGGGGGGUCGGGGGGUCUUACAUGUAAAAUGCUGACACAACCCACCCAGUGAUAUCGAUUUUGAAUCCAAGCAUUAGAAACAAAAGCUAAAAAUUGAAAGUAAUAAUGGAACAAAGAAGUGUUGGGCCAAUAUAUUUUACUGUGAAGUGCUUGUGUUUCUCUCUGCUUGCUCCUAUUUACUGAAAUAUAAAUAAAUGCAAAAGCAGAAAAAGCAGUGUCCUCCUGGUUCUUUGUGUUGAAACGUAUGGAGGAGGAGGGCGGUGAAAGAACAGUGGUUGCAGGGUUGUGGUAAAACAGUACCACUACAUACAGCUCUGUCAGCCAAUCCGUGAUACAGGCUGGGUGCAGACGCUAAAGCAACACCUGUGGGGCUGUGCACUACCCAUUCCAAGAGAGCCUAAUGGAGAGGUUCUCCGACCCG